CGUCGUUAGGUGUUAGUAACUGUGACUGUCAGUUUGUGCGUGCGACUGUGAGAGAGAGAGAGUGCAAGGGGACCAGCGAUGGAGCGAGAGAAAGCGAGAGUGAGCUUGGAGGGAGGGAGAGUGAUUCUGGUGCCGUACAUGAACGAACAUGUCCCAAAAUACCACGAGUGGAUGAAAGACCCAGCUCUCCUCCAAGCCACUGGCUCCGAGCCCCUCACCCUCGACCAGGAAUACCAGAUGCAGCUCACCUGGACCCAAGACCCCAACAAGCAGACUUUCAUUGUAUUGGAUAAGCAAUUGCUUUUGGGAGAGUUCAGCCAUGGAGAGCCCCGUGUGGAAGCCAUGAUAGGUGAUGUGAACUUAUAUAUGAAUGAUCUCGAUGAUCCACACAUGGGAGAGAUUGAAAUAAUGAUUGCUGAACCCAGAAGUCGUGGUCAAGGACUUGGAAAGGAAUCUGCCUUAAUGAUGAUGGUUUUUGCAAUUGAAAAUUUGGGAAUCCACGUCUUCCGUGCUAAAAUUGGGGACCAAAACGGAGCGUCUCUUAGCUUGUUUUGGAAAUUGGGCUUUGAGGAGACUUCUCAUAGUGAAAUCUUCAAAGAGGUGACCUUGGAUUUACAUGUAACAAAGAACAAGCAUGAGGAGCUGCUGCAGAUGGGUAGCUUCGUGACUCAUACCUAGCCGUCAAGGGCCUAUUUGUUUGUGCCAAUUCUCUACUUCACAAUCAACAUCAACUCUUUCACUAGUGCUUGGUUGCCGUAUAUGAUUGAACUGUGGUGCUAGUAGCUAUUGUGCAGAUAUGUUUGAAACUUGAAAGCAAGAGGUCUUGUUUGCAUUCAGGGGCUGUAACUGGUUAUAGGUGUUGUAUAAACUGCUUCUCUCCCGUUACAACUGUGCAAAGAUCGAAGAUAGCCUUCCGGUUGGAUUGAUUACCAAAGCAAUCCAUCCUGUAGAAGCUUGAGUAGUUCUGCUAGCUAAAUUGGAUGCUUCUGGUGGAUUGAAUGUAGUUCCAAUGGAGGCGGGGUUGUAGUACCUGAAGGGUCACUUCAAGAACCGAAGAUUCAGUUGGUCGAAAAGGUGCAAUCAGAGCAGGUUUUAGUUUCAGCAGGAAUAAGUAACCACAAGAAGAUUGAGAAAAUUGAAAAUUAUAAAAAGAAAAUAUAUAAAAAGUUCUUGCAGUUA
Molecule: RNA transcript, 1179 nt
Organism: Pyrus x bretschneideri (Chinese white pear)
Lineage: Eukaryota; Viridiplantae; Streptophyta; Magnoliopsida; Rosales; Rosaceae
Gene name: N-acetyltransferase 9-like protein
Exons: 7
Source: RefSeq, a predicted model, not a curated record